CCAGAGGAACCCCCGCGUUGCCGCCGCAACGCGGGGCACCAAACCGUUCCGUAGGUGAACCUGCGGAAGGAUCAUU
This 76-nucleotide ribosomal RNA is filed under the name Fusicladium eriobotryae. RNAcentral's name for it is "partial 18S ribosomal RNA". The record is from RNAcentral. Lineage: Eukaryota; Fungi; Ascomycota; Dothideomycetes; Venturiales; Sympoventuriaceae.